GCAUUCCUAGCUCAGUCGGUAGAGCGCGCGGCUUUUAACCGCGUGGUCGUGGGUUCGAUCCCCACGGAAUGCG
This is a transfer RNA of 73 nucleotides. It matches the Rfam family "tRNA". Rfam says of the family: Transfer RNA (tRNA) molecules are approximately 80 nucleotides in length. Their secondary structure includes four short double-helical elements and three loops (D, anti-codon, and T loops).